RNAcentral lists this ribosomal RNA (414 nucleotides) under uncultured Funneliformis. RNAcentral describes it as "partial 28S ribosomal RNA". The record is from RNAcentral. Lineage: Eukaryota; Fungi; Glomeromycota; Glomeromycetes; Glomerales; Glomeraceae.
GAGAGUUAAACAGUACGUGAAAUUGUUGAAAGGGAAACGAUUGAAGUCAGUCAUACCAACGGGAAAUCAACCUUUUGAGUUUGGUCUCGUGGGUUUUGAAGAGUUUAAAAGCCUUCGGAUUUUCGAGAUUGGGUUCUUCUGGUGUACUUUCUCGUACGGUUAGUCAACAUCGGUUUUGAAUGUCAUAAAAUGGCUGGAGGAAUGUGGCUUCGAUCUCGUAUUGAAGUGUUAUAGCCUUUGGUAGAUGUGAUGUUCGAGACCGAGGAUUGCAACGGAUACCCUUCUGGGCUAUUCGUCUGAUCUCUGAAACGUUGCCUUGAUGUCGAAAGCUUGCUUAUGAUGUUAGGGUAUUACGGUCAAAAGGUUAGAACGGAUUAAAUUCGUUAAGGAUGUUGACGUAAUGACUUUAAACGA